AGUGAACGCUGGCGGUAGGCCUAACACAUGCCAGUCGAACGGCAGCACAGUAAGAGCUUGCUCUUACGGGUGGCGAGUGGCGGACGGGUGAGGAAUACAUCGGAAUCUACUUUUUCGUGGGGGAUAACGUAGGGAAACUUACGCUAAUACCGCAUACGACCUACGGGUGAAAGCAGGGGAUCUUCGGACCUUGCGCGAUUGAAUGAGCCGAUGUCGGAUUAGCUAGUUGGCGGGGUAAGGGCCCACCAAGGCGACGAUCCGUAGCUGGUCUGAGAGGAUGAUCAGCAACACUGGAACUGAGACACGGUCCAGACUCCUACGGGAGGCAGCAGUGGGGAAUAUUGGACAAUGGGCGCAAGCCUGAUCCAGCCAUACCGCGUGGGUGAAGAAGGCCUUCGGGUUGUAAAGCCCUUUUGUUGGGAAAGAAAAGCAGCAGGUUAAUACCCCGCUGUUCUGACGGUACCCAAAGAAUAAGCACCGGCUAACUUCGUG
Molecule: ribosomal RNA, 492 nt
Filed under: uncultured bacterium
Lineage: Bacteria
Description: partial 16S ribosomal RNA
Rfam family: Bacterial small subunit ribosomal RNA
Source: RNAcentral